CAGUCGCCGCGGUAAUACGUAGGGUGCAAGCGUUAAUCGGAAUUACUGGGCGUAAAGCGUGCGCAGGCGGUUAUAUAAGACAGAUGUGAAAUCCCCGGGCUCAACCUGGGAACUGCAUUUGUGACUGUAUAGCUAGAGUACGGCAGAGGGGGAUGGAAUUCCGCGUGUAGCAGUGAAAUGCGUAGAUAUGCGGAGGAACACCGAUGGCGAAGGCAAUCCCCUGGGCCUGUACUGACGCUCAUGCACGAAAGCGUGGGGAGCAAACAGGAUUAGAUACCCGCGUAGUCCCUGUCUCUUAUAA
RNAcentral lists this ribosomal RNA (301 nucleotides) under uncultured bacterium. Its description in RNAcentral is "partial 16S ribosomal RNA". It matches the Rfam family "Bacterial small subunit ribosomal RNA", at positions 509 to 809 of the family's 1533-position model. The record is from RNAcentral.